UGGGGAAUUUUGGACAAUGGGGGAAACCCUGAUCCAGCCAUCCCGCGUGUGCGAUGAAGGCCUUCGGGUUGUAAAGCACUUUUGGCAGGAAAGAAACGUCAUGGGUUAAUACCCCGUGAAACUGACGGUACCUGCAGAAUAAGCACCGGCUAACUACGUGCCAGCAGCCGCGGUAAUACGUAGGGUGCAAGCGUUAAUCGGAAUUACUGGGCGUAAAGCGUGCGCAGGCGGUUCGGAAAGAAAGAUGUGAAAUCCCAGAGCUCAACCUUGGAACUGCAUUUUUAACUACCGGGCUAGAGUGUGUCAGAGGGAGGUGGAAUUCCGCGUGUAGCAGUGAAAUGCGUAGAUAUGCGGAGGAACACCGAUGGCGAAGGCAGCCUCCUGGGAUAACACUGACGCUCAUGCACGAAAGCGUGGGGAGCAAACAGG
Molecule: ribosomal RNA, 429 nt
Filed under: Acidobacteriota bacterium
Lineage: Bacteria; Pseudomonadati; Acidobacteriota
Description: Acidobacteria bacterium partial 16S ribosomal RNA
Rfam family: Bacterial small subunit ribosomal RNA
Source: RNAcentral